Molecule: unclassified non-coding RNA, 1395 nt
Filed under: Leishmania donovani
Lineage: Eukaryota; Euglenozoa; Kinetoplastea; Trypanosomatida; Trypanosomatidae
Description: gene:LdHU3.26.1600(CDS-product:hypothetical_prote in_conserved)
Source: RNAcentral
AAGCCCACGAAGCGGGAUAGGAACAAAGGAAAGAGAAGCACCGACACGGCGCACACGUAGCCGCGCAUGCACAACGGUUUUGCACGGCACCCCUUCCCUCGCCUCCAUCUCGGUUUCUCGCGCGCUCUCUCUCUCUGAUGAAGUGCAGCGCGGCCCUUUGCCGCGUGGCAUCGGCCGUCGCCGCCGCCGUCCCGAAGAGCUGCAGGAACACCCCGUACACGAAGAAGGACGAGGCAUCCGCGACGCGUCCAAUAAAGAACACCACGCCGAAGCUGGCCGACGCCAGCAAUCAAAGCGUGCGCUGCGGCGGCGGUCGGUGCAGCAACUUCCUCGACGUCGCCCCUGUGCCGCCACCGGCGUCGGUCUUUCGCGCCGCUGCCGCCAACGGCUCCACGUUCAUCGACCCCAGCUCCUCGGCGGUUGCCACCAGCUUCAACAACAACUGCCACAUAAAAUCUUUCCGCCAGCGCGUCUGCACCGCCACGGAUGUGUCGAUGCGGCCACUGCUGUUGCUACUCGAUGAUUCACAGGCACUGAACGCUAUGGCCGCCAACGCCAGCAUCGCCAGCGCUGCGGCGGCAGCCAUGAAGAGUGGAAGGUCCAAGUACGGCGACGUGCUGGAGCAGCUGUCAUGUCGCUGGGCGGCGAAGUUCUACGGCAAGGUCACGUAUGGCCCGCGCAACUAUCCAUACCCGUCUUCGCGUUGGCUGGCUCGCCGCUUCCAGAUGAAGAAGCAUCGCAUUCUCAAGCGCUUCCGCUUCCGCCGCUACAAACUCGCAGCCGUGGCGAAUCUGCCCUUUGCCAAGAUGAUUCGUGUAGGGAUGCUGCCGGAGCUGAAGAGCAGCAAGACAAAGAAGGGCGACACCGUGGACAUGGGCCUGUCCUCGCAGCUGGUCAGCGCAGCGCGGUCGUCGGCUGGCGCGACCAAGACAAAGGGCAAGCGCACGCGUCCAAAGUCGAAGUACCAGGUGUGAAGCCGAGUUACACCACGGUGUGUGUGUGUGUGUGUGGGUGGGUGGGUGUGGGUGUGGGUGUGGGUGUGGGUGUGGGUGUGUGUCUAUGUAGGGUCUUUUGUGGGGCGGCCAGCCGUCUGUGUGGCUCGCACUGCUGUCGCGGCCAGCUGUCCGUGUUCGCGGGGCGCGGAGCCUGUAUAUAAGCGCUUUGGGUGUACCGCGCCGUUUGCCUUUCUGCGGUAGUUGUCAUUGUUCGCUCGCUCUUUCUCACGCCCGAGGUGCGUACGGUUGUGUGCGAGUGCCAUGUCCAGCAUGUUUGCUGGCUUGUCCACUGCGCAGAGGCGUCAUGCAUGAAGAGUUCCUCCCUCCGAAUCCCCCCCCCAACCUGCGUCUGUUCUUCUCUCUCGCCUCUGUGUAACCACACGUCCUGAAAAGGCAACAG